Molecule: ribosomal RNA, 442 nt
Filed under: uncultured bacterium
Lineage: Bacteria
Description: partial 16S ribosomal RNA
Rfam family: Bacterial small subunit ribosomal RNA
Source: RNAcentral
CCUACGGUAGACAGCAGUGGGGAAUAUUUGGCAAUGGGCGCAAGCCUGACCCAGCAACGCCGCGUGAAAGAAUAAGGCUUUUGGGUUGUAAACUUCUUUUAAGAGGGGAGAGCAGAAGACGGUACCUCUUGAAUAAGCCACGGCUAACUACGUUCCAGCCGUCGCGGUAAUACGUAGGUGGUAAGCGUUGUCCGGAUUUACUGGGUGUAAAGGGCGUUCAGCCGGGAAGACACGUCAGAUGUGAAAUCCCGCGGCUCAACCGCGGAACUGCAUUUGAAACUGUUUUUCUUGAGUACCGGAGAGGUCAUCGGAAUUCCUUGUGUAGCGGUGAAAUGCGUAGAUAUAAGGAAGAACACCAGUGGCGAAGGCGGAUGACUGGACGGCAACUGACGGUGAGGCGCGAAAGCGUGGGGAGCAAACAGGAUUAGAUACCCCUGUAGUC